UGAAGAGUGUUGAAAUUUUAUUAAAAAUGGACGAUAUUUAAAGUGACGAGCAUUGUAGAGUGUAAGGUCGAAAACUUAGAGUGUCGACUAUUCACAAAGAAUAUGAAAUCUGUCGGUCACACCUGCUAUAGACACUGAUAAACAAGACUUGACACUCUUUGACGUCACGAGCAUAUGAUCGGCACUAUGACUAGCGAUCACAUGCCUUCCCAUUUAUAUAUAUAUUAUAUAUACACUUCUCCUUUCUUUCGGUUUGGUUAGUUUCUUUUACUCCUGUGAGUUUUCUCCUUUCUUCUAUACGACUAUCGAUCAAAUUAGAAAAAAAAUAGAGAGAAAGAAAAAUAAUACAGAGCAAAAAAUAAAGAAAAAGAGAAAGGGUUGGGUGAGGUAAAAAGAGUUGUUAUUUUGAGAUAGCGUGAAGAACUUACGUGGGGUAAGAAGUACUUGUUUUUUUUUUUUCAGUUUAUUAAAUUAUAAUAUAUAUUAUAAUUUUAUGAUAUUCUUUUUUAUUUUAAUUUAAAUUGUAGAUUAUUAAUACAAAAAACAGAUAAAAAAGAAAGAGCUGCACGAGGUACGUAGAAAUUUUUUACGUGAAACUAUUUGUGUAUUUAUUUUAUUUUAUGAUGUUUAUAUUUUUAUUAAUUUUUACUUUAUUUCUAUAUUUCAUUAUAGAUUUUGAUGUGUUGUAUUUGUUAUGUGAUGUUUAUAUUAUUUUGAAUUUUUUUAGUUAAAUAAAUAAAGAAUUUAAACUAGAAUAAACUAUAUAUUAAUUAUUUUUUGCUUAAUACCAUGUAAACUUAUCUUGAUGCAUACGCUGAAAAUUUUUUAUGAUAAAUUUAUAUGUCUAUUUUAUGUAUAUUGUAUUUGUAUAUAUGUAUAUUAUUUUUUGAUGUUUAUAUGUUUCUGUUUUUUUGUUAUUUAAUUUUAAUUCAUAUAUUAUUGUAAUUUUGAUAUGUAUUUUUAUUUAUAUGUGAUGUUUAUAUUAUGUUAAAUUUUUUGACUUAAAUAAAUUAAAAUUUUAAAUCAAAAUAAAAAUGAUAUAUUUAGAAACAUAAAAAAAUAUAUUUCAUUUUAAAUGCAUUUUUUUUAUUUUAGUUUAAUAUUAAUUUUUAUGUUGUAUCAGUUUUUUAAAAAAUCAUUUUAACUACCAAUAGUAUCAAAUGAUAUUUAAAAAAUUUCAUUGAAAUGUUUUUUUUUUUAAAUCAAAUGCCAUAACCUUUUAAUUACUAAACCAAAUCUUACUAAUAUCACGUGCUAGGAAAUAGUUUUAAAGAAUGUAAUAAUAGAGUUGACGUAUUUUUUACUUUUAAAAUAUGUAUAAUAAUUAAACAUGAUAAGUUUGUCAUGUAUCGUUGCUUAUUGGGCUGGAAAUAUAAUUUAGAAUUAAUCAUAUUUUCUAAAAAAUGAUAAGAAGCAGAGAUAGAUUGUUUAUAUAAAAAUUUAUAGAUGAGAAUAGAUAAUACUCCUAUGGCACCGACCGAGACGUAAUAGAAGACAACCGACUAGUGGUACAGAAGAACAGGUCAAUGGUGUAACCUCUCCUCCACAGGAAAUUGCAGUUAAAAUGGAAGACAUCACCAAUCUUAGCGAGAACUUUGCUAGCGGUUUGUUUAGUUUUGUACCCACGUAAUGUUAACUGGGUGGCUCACGAUGUAGCCAAAAGAAAGCCCCAACUCAUUCUCUUGUCAGCCCGUCUAGCUGGCUCAGGAGAAUUAUGGUUGUAUGACUUUUGAUUUAUCAAUUACAUCUAUCUUUUUUCCGUUGAAAAGGGAAAGAAAAAAACAUAUAUCAUCUCAAGAGUCUUAGCGUCCAAAUAUGAAUCUCUAUCGGUUAUUCUGUUACUAUAUUAGGCAAUUGCUCUAUAGAUUCCCCAUUUGGGAAUCUAUACAACAGGACAUCACUAGUAGUUCUCCUUGUGAAAUACAAAUCUAGUUUCUGUUUUGGUUGAGAAUUUGGUGCACAAUCUCUCCAGUUCAUUUCCCAGUGCUGAUGGACCGCAGUAGAAGACCCCUGUGUCAAAAAACUUCGAAAAUAAAUAUAUAAGAACACCCACAAUUAAUUUAUUGAUUAUGAAGAGUCAUUGGUUUUUUUCUAUUAAUUUAUUAAUUAAUAAGUUUCAUUUGUAAUUAAAUACUUUUCUAAUUUUAAAAAAUAACAUAUUAAUAAUAAAUUAGUUUUCUAAUUAGAUAAUAAUUAUUUUAUAAAAUAGCAUAUNNNNNNNNNNNNNNNNNNNNNNNNNNNNNNNNNNNNNNNNNNNNNNNNNNNNNNNNNNNNNNNNNNNNNNNNNNNNNNNNNNNNNNNNNNNNNNNNNNNNNNNNNNNNNNNNNNNNNNNNNNNNNNNNNNNNNNNNNNNNNNNNNNNNNNNNNNNNNUUGUAUAAUAAUUUAUAAUUCUAAUUUUUAUAUUAUUGCACUAAUAAAGUUUUAAGAAGAAAUCAAGGACAUCUAAAAAUAGUUAAUUUGCUAUUAUUUUUUAAAAUAUUAUAAAUUAAUAAUAUGAAAAAAUAAUUAAAUUGUAUCUAUAAAUUUAAUUUUUUAUAAUCAAAAUAAUAAUAAAUAUCAUACACCGUACUAAAUCUCAAAGCUCACUAUUGUUUUUUUUUCUUACUAGCUUUUGAAUAUUGGUUUCACAUCUUAAGCCAUAUAGUUUGGCUGUAAUGGAGAAAAAUAGAAAUAUACUAAAUGAAAUUAUGAAAGGUACAUAAAAUGGUUACCUAUUCGUUCUCCUCUGUGUUUACUUGACAUUUUUGAGAAAAUGCUGAACCAAUUCGGACGGCCAAAUUGCGUGCGUACCUACAGCUCCAUCAUUUAGAUAUUCAGUUAGAGGCGUCAGGCUCAAAGCUCCCUCGUAAAAGGAAACCAAGUAUAAGCAAUUUAGCAUAUUUACAGAAGUGGGAAAAAAACAACAUUUAGUAAUAUAUUUUUACCUGACUCCAAGAUAUGAUGUCAAUGCCUUUCUUAGCAAGAUGCAGUGCUUGUAUGGCACUUAUUAUAGCAGAUCUUGCAUCCCCUUCUUGAUAAACAUUGGUUAAGAAGUAUUGCAUCUCUACGACAGACUGCAAGGAUCACCAGAGGAAAUAAGAUGUAGAUGUACCAUAAGCCAUAGGGAGAGAACAAAAGCAAGGGAAUUAGUAAUGUUAAGUUACCUUCUUUUGGUUAAUUUUGGAUGUUUCCCACAGGACAUCCCUGAACCAGUCGAAAGAGCUUUGUUCUCUUGUAACCCAAUAAAAGUAAGCUUUUAAAGGACCUCUUGAAAUGUUGCAUUCCUCACAAUUGGCCUAUAGCAACUUUUUUCAACACAUAUUUAGAUUGAUAGUUGAGAGAAAACAACAGAUAUUGAAUAAGUGAAACAGUAUAGGAAAAAGUAAGAUAAUUUAGUUUUUUAGCAUUUUCCUUUUUCAUAUGUGAUAAUUUAAGAUAGUAUUUUACUCAUUUUGGCUUCUUUUUUUUAUAUAUAUAUUACUCAGUGCCAUAUUAGCCGAAGAAUGAUACAUGUCAAUAAGUCACCAAUUACUAAUGAUGUAACAAGAAUAUAUCUGAAAAUACUGAUAGAGUAAAUAUAUUUUAAAUUGUUAACAGAAAAAGACACGCGCAGAGUUAUAAAUCUGCAAAACCACAAAUAGUUUAUAUUUAUCUCUAUUAUAUAUAUGGAGAGUAGAGCAUAAGCCAUUGAUUACUUGCCAUUUGGAGAUCAUUUGCGAUGUCUUUAAGAAUGCUAAUGAAAGGUGUGGCUCCAAUGCCAAGCCCAAUUAGCAUGACUAUAUCAUACUUGACAUGAUCUUGGGAAGAAGCACCAUAGGGUCCAUCAAUGUAUAUUUUUGGAUAUUCCUUGCCCCCUGAUAGUGCUGCCUGCAAAACCCCAGAAGAAUCUUGAAAUAGGUCUCAUUCUUCAAGUUGAUAGGCAAUCAAGUAUGUGUGUGUUUUAUUACAGUUAGUUCUUUUACCUCUUGAAAAAGAUAGUAUAUUUUGUAACUCCAAUCUCCAAGAGUUCUAAUAUGCACACUUAAGUGAUCAUCCUCUGGCCCUGAAGUUAAUGAAAAUGGGUGCCUGAAAAAUGAGAGACGGGCAUAUACCUAGAUAAAAGCUUACUUGAUGCAAGAGGGAAAAAAUUAGAGGAAUAUUUUGACUUAUUAGAUGGUAUAUGGGCUAAACAUAUUUGCUGUACAAGCAAAAGAAAGACAAGGUGUUUGGUUAACUUGCUACAAUUUGAUUAUUUGGACUAGUAGUCAAUUAGUAGAGUGCUUUCCUUGUUGCAAUUGAUCAGGGGUUCAAAUUUUACCAUUACAAAUUGUGGAUUCUCUGAGGCAGUACAUAAAAGAAGGAAAUGAUACAAAGAAAAAUAACGAGAAAUGUUGUAUAGUUACCAUUGAAAUGGAGAAAUCUGAGGGCACUGUAGGAAGACAUACAUCCCACUCUUGUGCUUGAAACCUUGUGGUUUGUGCAACUUCAGAGAUAAAACCUUUCCUGGAUAAAUACUAGCCUACUAAUACAGUAACAUGUCCUUAGCUAAAUAAUGUUAACAUUAUUAAUUUUAUAAUCUAGUAAGUUGCAUUUAUCAAUUACCUUCAGAAUUUUUGCAUCAUAAAAUCCUGAUCUUACAGCUCGAGCAACACGUUCUCCGGCAUAUAACAUAACUGGCAAGGCAAUGUACAUCCAGGUCUGCACCAAAAUGUCUCAAUUUUAAUCUCUAUCAAUGCAUCAACCGCAUGGCUUUUCUAUUUUUUAAUUGCAAAUAAGAGAGAAAAACUCGAACUUGAGUCCUUUCAAUUUGACAUAUGCACCAACUGCCAGACUUAGCUUAUGGGUACAUAAACCACAGGACUUAAGUAAUUGCAGUAGUGUGUGAAGUGACUCAACUUAACAUCUAAAUAUGGGUUUAACUGAAAAACCAAACUGAAAUACAUACCGUUUUCUCAGUGACAUUGUCAGUAAGGAAGAGGAACAUGGAGUGAAUAAUGAGCAACACAUAGACAAGAAUGAGC
RNAcentral lists this long non-coding RNA (4980 nucleotides) under Ricinus communis (castor bean). RNAcentral describes it as "long non-coding RNA (RCOM_LNC002734)". Lineage: Eukaryota; Viridiplantae; Streptophyta; Magnoliopsida; Malpighiales; Euphorbiaceae. The record is from RNAcentral.